This 382-nucleotide unclassified non-coding RNA is filed under the name Hevea brasiliensis (rubber tree). The record is from RNAcentral. Lineage: Eukaryota; Viridiplantae; Streptophyta; Magnoliopsida; Malpighiales; Euphorbiaceae.
GAUCAAUAAUAUUUCAAGAAUUAAUUCUCUCUUUAAGAAUUGAUUCUUGAUUUUUCUUAAUUUUUUUUUGUUUAUCGUUCAUCACUUUUUUCCUUCAUUUACUACACUAAAUCAACUAAAAAGCUAAGGGCAUUACUUAAAAGCAAAUCAAAUACAUGCUUCCUUUUGUUUUCAGGAUUCUAAAGUAAUUAACUAGUUGGCCGUCAAGCCGAUCAACAAAAGCCUCAACAUUGAAGUAUGAGCAUGCGGGAACUAAUGCAUGGCUUAGGUGCCCCACCCAUCCCCUUUCAAGUGUGUAAGCUCUAGGACUUAAGAAUCAAUUCGUUAAUAGUAGCUUAUCAAUUAUUUUACUGGUUAUUAAAUAUUAAAUAUUAAUAGUUAG